GUUUGUAUCUGGAACUACCAGUCACAGGUCAUGGAGAAGUCCUUCAAGGUCACUGAGUCACCAGUGAGGUCAGCCAAGUUCAUAGCACGCAAAAACUGGAUUGUCACCGCAUCUGAUGACAAAUAUAUUCGCGUAUACAACUAUGAUACGGUGGAAAAGAUCAAAGAAUAUGAAGCACAC
This is a non-coding RNA of Prunus mume (Japanese apricot), 180 nucleotides long. The record is from RefSeq and is a predicted model, not a curated record. NCBI's taxonomy places the organism in Eukaryota, Viridiplantae, Streptophyta, Magnoliopsida, Rosales, Rosaceae.